Molecule: ribosomal RNA, 587 nt
Filed under: uncultured bacterium
Lineage: Bacteria
Description: bacterial SSU rRNA
Rfam family: Bacterial small subunit ribosomal RNA
Source: RNAcentral
UCCUACGGGAGGCAGCAGUGGGGAAUAUUGGACAAUGGGGGGAACCCUGAUCCAGCCAUGCCGCGUGUGUGAAGAAGGCCUUCGGGUUGUAAAGCACUUUCAGUUGUGAGGAAAAGUUAGUAGUUAAUACCUGCUAGCCGUGACGUUAACAACAGAAAAAGCACCGGCUAACUCCGUGCCAGCAGCCGCGGUAAUACGGAGGGUGCGAGCGUUAAUCGGAAUUACUGGGCGUAAAGCGCACGCAGGCGGUUUGUUAAGCUAGAUGUGAAAGCCCCGGGCUCAACCUGGGAUGGUCAUUUAGAACUGGCAGACUAGAGUCUUGGAGAGGGGAGUGGAAUUCCAGGUGUAGCGGUGAAAUGCGUAGAUAUCUGGAGGAACAUCAGUGGCGAAGGCGACUCCCUGGCCAAAGACUGACGCUCAUGUGCGAAAGUGUGGGUAGCGAACAGGAUUAGAUACCCUGGUAGUCCACACCGUAAACGCUGUCUACUAGCUGUGUGUGCCUUUAAGGCGUGCGUAGCGAAGCUAACGCGCUAAGUAGACCGCCUGGGGAGUACGGCCGCAAGGUUAAAACUCAAAUGAAUUGACGG